RNAcentral lists this ribosomal RNA (497 nucleotides) under uncultured bacterium. RNAcentral describes it as "partial 16S ribosomal RNA". It matches the Rfam family "Bacterial small subunit ribosomal RNA", at positions 28 to 507 of the family's 1533-position model. The record is from RNAcentral.
GAUGAACGCUGGCGGCGUGCCUAAUACAUGCAAGUCGAGCGAACAGAUGAGGAGCUUGCUCCUCUGACGUUAGCGGCGGACGGGUGAGUAACACGUGGAUAACCUACCUAUAAGACUGGGAUAACUUCGGGAAACCGGAGCUAAUACCGGAUAAUAUAUUGAACCGCAUGGUUCAAUAGUGAAAGACGGUUUUGCUGUCACUUAUAGAUGGAUCCGCGCCGCAUUAGCUAGUUGGUAAGGUAACGGCUUACCAAGGCAACGAUGCGUAGCCGACCUGAGAGAGGUGCGGGCCACACGGGAACUGAGCCACGGUCCAGACUCCUCCGGGAAGAAGCAGUAGGGAAUCUUCCGCAAUGGGCGAAAGCCUGACGGAGCAACGCCGCGUGAGUGAUGAAGGUCCUCGGAUCGUAAAACUCUGUUAUUAGGGAAGAACAAAUGUGUAAGUAACUAUGCACGUCUUGACGGUACCUAAUCAGAAAGCCACGGCUAACUACGUG